This is a long non-coding RNA of Mesocricetus auratus (golden hamster), 390 nucleotides long. RefSeq lists it as uncharacterized. The record is from RefSeq and is a predicted model, not a curated record. The transcript is spliced from 3 exons. Lineage: Eukaryota; Metazoa; Chordata; Mammalia; Rodentia; Cricetidae.
CAUACACACACACACAGCACGCACACACACGUGCACACACACACACAUACAUGUACAUACAAUGAAUUUUGAUGACACCCCCAUUAGCCAUCCCCUAUACUCAAUUCCUCCCAAUCAUCAGGGCUGUCACAACGUUCUUCACCACAUUGUUAGACAGGAAGUCGAUAGUCUCAACGGAACUUAUGGAACAUGGCCAAGUCUGAGUUUACUCAAGACUCUCUUGGAGAUAGAGCUUCAAUCAGUAAAGGCAUAUUUCACAAGGCAACCAUGGCUUUUACCUCAGAUAAUGAUUUUAAAUUUGAGGAGCCUGAGGCUUUCCUCGUUAUCAAAGCAUGUCUCAUCUCCAGACUCAUACUGUGGGUUGGCCUUACACACAUCUCAGAUGCACCA